CCCUUAGACGUUCUGGGCCGCACGCGCGCUACACUGACCAGUGCAACAAGCAUCCGUCCUUGGCCGACAGGCCCGGGCAAUCUUUGAACGCUGGUCGUGAUGGGGAUAGACGUUUGCAAUUUUUGGUCUUCAACGAGGAAUUCCUAGUAAACGCAAGUCAUCAACUUGCAUUGAUUACGUCCCUGCCCUUUGUACACACCGCCCGUCGCACCUACCGAUUGAAUGGUCCGGUGAAGCCUCCGGAUUGGCGCGCACCUCGGUGCCGCCGAGAAGUUGGCUAAACCUUACCAUUUAGAGGAAGGUGAAGUCGUAACA
This 315-nucleotide ribosomal RNA is filed under the name uncultured eukaryote. RNAcentral's name for it is "partial 18S ribosomal RNA". It matches the Rfam family "Eukaryotic small subunit ribosomal RNA", at positions 1470 to 1796 of the family's 1831-position model. The record is from RNAcentral.